GCCUGGGUGGUUCAGUCGGUUGAGCGUCUGACUUCUGCUCAGGUCGUGAUCUCAAGCUUGUGAGUUCAAGCCCCGCGUCAGGCU
This 84-nucleotide transfer RNA is filed under the name Felis catus (domestic cat). It matches the Rfam family "tRNA". Rfam says of the family: Transfer RNA (tRNA) molecules are approximately 80 nucleotides in length. Their secondary structure includes four short double-helical elements and three loops (D, anti-codon, and T loops). The record is from Rfam by way of RNAcentral. Lineage: Eukaryota; Metazoa; Chordata; Mammalia; Carnivora; Felidae.